AAAUUUGGGGGGUCCCCGAAGGCUCCGAGACCCCCCCGGACCUGGAGGAGGAAGUGUCCAUCGUGCGUGGGUCAGACCCGACCCCCCCCCCACUGCUUCACUCGGACCCUGCAGGAGCUGCUCUGCUUCUGGGAGAGGGAGCACUUCCGGCUGCAGUUCCGCCUGGAGUGAGUGACCUCUGACCCCUCUGUGACCCCUGACCCCUGUGUGACCCCUCACUGAGCCCUGACCCCUGUCUCUGCUUCUGGGAGAGGGAGCACUUCCGGCUGCAGUUCCGCCUCGAGCAGGACCCGUGGCAGGACUGUCCCCUCCGUGUCACCCCCCGCCCGGGGGGGGGUCCCGGUGCUCUGUGUGACCCCUGAGUGACCCCUGAGUGACCCUGAGUGACCCCUGUGUGACCCGUGCGUGACCCCUGACCCCCCGAUGACCCCUGACCUCUGACCCCAGGCAGGACCCGUGGCAGGACUGUCCCCC
Non-coding RNA from Taeniopygia guttata (zebra finch), 474 nucleotides. Lineage: Eukaryota; Metazoa; Chordata; Aves; Passeriformes; Estrildidae. The record is from RefSeq and is a predicted model, not a curated record.